UACGAAGGGGGGCUAGCGUUGCUCGGAAUCACUGGGCGUAAAGGGUGCGUAGGCGGGUCUUUAAGUCAGGGGUGAAAUCCUGGAGCUCAACUCCAGAACUGCCUUUGAUACUGAGGAUCUUGAGUUCGGGAGAGGUGAGUGGUAACUGCGAGUGUAGAGGUGAAAUUCGUAGAUAUUCGCAAGAACACCAGUGGCGAAGGCGGCUCACUGGCCCGAUACUGACGCUG
Molecule: ribosomal RNA, 227 nt
Filed under: uncultured bacterium
Lineage: Bacteria
Description: partial 16S ribosomal RNA
Rfam family: Bacterial small subunit ribosomal RNA
Source: RNAcentral